CACACUGAAAAAAGUGCACAAGGCAUGUCAUUACUCUAAAGAAUUUGUUAUACUUGAGCUAACUCAAAACAUUUGAUUUUCUGUCUAGCCAUCAGUGUAAUGUAAAAAGUUUGGUUGAUUUAAAUUAAAAGUAAGUCUUGUUAGUGUAAAGUAAAUACAUUUCUGUAAAUUAAAUUAAAAAUAUUGGUUUCCAUUGUCACGUGACUUCUAACGUCAUCCGUGGUCGUGCGUGUCGACGUUCAGCUUUCCGCCAUCUUGUUAUACCGCAUGGAUGAACUCGGCGUGGUAAAACGGGAAUCAAGAAAAUUGGAUGGGGUACAGCUGAACAACAAUUAUGACAGGUUUUGAAUAAACCAGUCACAUGAAAAACAUUAAUGCCGAAUUUUUGCGCAUCACGACCCUACAUUUACAAUCGAGAAUUAUGGCCUCUUUGGACAGACAGAGCUCUUAGCUUCUCCAGGUUAUUAGGAGCAAAGGUGGAGUCCUCCAU
Long non-coding RNA from Labeo rohita (rohu), 490 nucleotides. RefSeq lists it as uncharacterized. Lineage: Eukaryota; Metazoa; Chordata; Actinopteri; Cypriniformes; Cyprinidae. The transcript has 3 exons. The record is from RefSeq and is a predicted model, not a curated record.